Molecule: long non-coding RNA, 515 nt
Filed under: Panax ginseng (ginseng)
Lineage: Eukaryota; Viridiplantae; Streptophyta; Magnoliopsida; Apiales; Araliaceae
Description: long non-coding RNA (PGIN_LNC014837)
Source: RNAcentral
CUUGGUCAAUAAAGAGACUAUUUUGGCUAUAACAGAAAAACAAGGGUAUUUAACACUUAUGUAUACAAGAAUAAAACUACAAAAGUAUGCUCUCAAGUCAUAUGCUUACAAGUAUGCUUAAAUGUCAUUCAUAUGCUUACAAGUAUGCUCAAGUCAUAUGAUUACAAGUAUGCUCAAGUCAUAUGCUUACAAGUAUGCUUAAGUUAUAUGCUUAGAAGUAUUCUUAAAUGUUAAUCAUAUGCAUGCUUACAAGUAUGCUCAAGUCAUAUGGUUACAAGUAUGCUCAAGUCAUAUGUUAACAUUUAUAAUGUUGUCUGUAGUAGGUACCGUGGAAUCAUGGACCUCUAUUCAGACCGUAGUUGGAUGGCACGACGAAAGUCAAGUGCCCAGAUAGGUGCUACAGCUGAAUUUAGAGCUGGUUGCCAAGUGUUUUUGGAGUAUGCGUAUAGUCACCCGGAAUGUAUGAAUGGUAAGUCGCAGAUACGAUGUCCAUGUUUGAAGUGUAAGAAUGUAAA